Naganishia friedmannii is the source of this 102-nucleotide non-coding RNA. The record is from the annotation of a GenBank genome assembly. NCBI's taxonomy places the organism in Eukaryota, Fungi, Basidiomycota, Tremellomycetes, Filobasidiales, Filobasidiaceae.
GCCGGUAUGGCCAAGUGGUAAGGCACUGCACUUGUACGACUUAUUCCACAACGUGGUUAACAAUACAUGCAGCGAUCUCUCGUUCGACCCGGGAUGCUGGCU